Oryza sativa Japonica Group (Japanese rice) is the source of this 1298-nucleotide long non-coding RNA. RefSeq lists it as uncharacterized. Lineage: Eukaryota; Viridiplantae; Streptophyta; Magnoliopsida; Poales; Poaceae. The record is from RefSeq and is a predicted model, not a curated record.
CCCCCCCCUCUCUCUCUCUCUCUAUUUGCCGCAAUCGACGCGCCUCCUCCGCAUCGGCGCGACCGCGCAUCCUCUCCCGCAUCUCCCUCUCUUCCGCAUUCGCCGUGCCUCCUCCGCAUCCCUCCCCUCCGCGUCAGGAUCGAGCGCCGCCUCGCGCAGGGGUUCACCGGCCUGCUGCAGGCGCAGCCGCCGCAGUUCCCGUGGCCGGCGGCGUCGCACAAGCGGAUUCCCUUCGAGAUCGACCUCCCCGUGGUCCCCUUCGGCGCCUCCCGGGGUGCCCGGGCCGGGAAGGAGUUCUUCCUCGCCGCGGCCGUCGCCUCCAUCAUCGACAUCGGCAGGAGGCCACCGGCGCCAGGGAGGUGAUUCUGCCACUCCGCGCCUCACCGGUCUCCACUCUCCAUCUCGCCGCCGCCACCACGUCCGCCCUCUGCCGCAGAUAGAGUGACAUGUUUAUUUGGACACAUGUAUAAUUGGAGUACAUGCAUUUGUGAUAAGUUUCCUUGGUAAAUGCAAUGUGUUCUUCAUCAUUGUCAAUUAUUCUAGGAGGCCUUGAUAUGUCAGUUACCGGAUUCAUGGCCAUUGUUCCACACCCUAGGAAUUAUUUGAAGGGCAAUAUUUUUAUGAAGCUUAAAGAUUGAAUUUGAAUCCAUCUGCCCUGGCUUGAAGUACAAUCCAAAUAUUAUGGUAUAUCAACAGCAGCUUCAGUCUGGGACAGAGCAAUACAAGGUCCUCCCUGAGGAGAUUUGGCUUUUCAGUAUGCUUCAGUAAGGAUUUAGCAGAUGGCAAUCUUUGCUGUCUGUUAGCAAGGAGCAUCAAGAGUUCCUCGGCCUUGUCGACAAAGAGAUUGAAUUAUAUUAUAUACUAAUGGAAUUCCGCCGGCGGUGUGAGGCCCACUCAGAGUAGGAUUUGGAGGGUGCAGAACUGUUUUUGCAUUGCCAAUGAAAGGAGGAAGACCGCCUCAAAGAGCCUUGUCCCCAUCCACCAACAUGGUCAUGAUAAUCGUUGACAUCGACCAAGAUCUCUCCAGGGUAAGUAGAACAGCACUAAAAUUAGGAUUAGCAUUUCUAGACACCAUGUUAUUUCAGAAAUUGAUUAGUUGGAAUCUUGUAUUCAUUUUGCUAGCCUGAGUGCCUAACUUAGUGGAAAUAUAUUGGAAAAGUUUCUCCAUGGCAGAUUGAGGCUGUUAUUUCCUGUAGAUUUAGGUUUCGCUGUAAAUACUGAACAAUUAUUGCAAUUUUCUAUUUGUAUUGAGUACUUGGGUGGUUCUUUCUAUCAACCAAAUCAAUUUUUAUUCAUCA